UCUUAGUCAUAGGACAGACAUCUUAAAAGAUUUCUUGCAUGGGCCUUGGACUUGCUUAAUAAAUACUGAAUUUCUUAAUCUGUCCAAUUUACCAUGGUUUAUAAUUAAUUGUUUUUCCUAUUAAACUUAAACCACACAGCCUCUUUUCUAGUUAGCUGCCUGGGGAGAAGGCACAGGAAGGUUCCUUUUGAACCUAUUCAGAGCUGCUUUUCCCCAGUUGAUAGAACAUUGCCAAGGUCGGUAAGCCUAAAA
This 252-nucleotide long non-coding RNA is filed under the name Bos taurus (domestic cattle). RNAcentral's name for it is "long non-coding RNA NONBTAT022534". The record is from RNAcentral. Lineage: Eukaryota; Metazoa; Chordata; Mammalia; Artiodactyla; Bovidae.